Long non-coding RNA from Corvus hawaiiensis (hawaiian crow), 1104 nucleotides. RefSeq lists it as uncharacterized. The record is from RefSeq and is a predicted model, not a curated record. The transcript has 3 exons. Lineage: Eukaryota; Metazoa; Chordata; Aves; Passeriformes; Corvidae.
AGAAAUGUUUUCAAUAAAGGCUUUGGAAAAGUCUGAUGUUCAUGAUAUCACACACUUCUGUUGAAGCAGAAAAUGAGGUGAAGAACUAAUUCCACCCUGGCCAUGGUUUAGGUAGCUCUCUCUCUGGUGCUGCUUCUGAGAGGUUCUGCUGGUUAAUCCUGAGCAGACAGUUAUUCCAAGGUUAACAAGCUGUGUUGAAUUCCCACAAGAAGUAAGAAGAAUUCUUCUGCUUUGGGCACACACACUCGACUAAACUUUUUGGAGGAAAAUAUUCCUUCCUUCUGUGCUUGUACUACAGCUGAGAAUAAAAAAAGAGGUAAUACUCCCCUGACAAAGCCUUCAGACCAUCAUUCUGUAGAGUUCUUACAUGAUAGCAAGAAUACAAGAAAGUCAAAGUACUAAAUACACCUGAAUUUAAAGGUUGUUCUCAAUUUCAACUGUAUGGAUUACAUUGACUGGAAUGUGGUGUUUUCCUUACUGGUCAUAAGACCAAAUAUUGUCCUGACUUGCGCCCCUCUGGAAUGCUGAAUUUUGUUUUGCAGACUGGGAUCAUGUUUCUUAGGGAUUUGCAAGUUGUUUAAAAGGAAAAAUUUGUAAUCUGACAGUGAUCACCAAUUUAUUUAAUGUUUGGGUCUUGAGAAAGAGCUAUAUUCACUCCUUUCAGUUUGGCAGAUGUUUCAAGUGUGAACAAGGGCAUAAAUGAAAAGCCAUGGAAGAAGUCAGAUUUUCUAUGGAGCUGUGUACCGUAAAAAUAAUAACAAAGGGAAAUGGAAAGCCACUAAAAUAAAAGACUGUGAUCCAGUUUAUGUCCACACAUGGUAAGGCAUUAUCAAAAAGUUAUUUCUCCCAGUUAAUCAUUAAAUGCACUCUUACACUCUUAAAAACUCAUGUGAGGAACACUUUUCGGACAGAAAAGAAAAGUACACACAAUGGAUAUGUAGUACGAAGCAUGUAAACCAACAAAAUAACAGCUGUCUGUUCUGUAUAGCUCUAUAUUCUUUUACAGCUAGGUUGUUUCAUUAAUAAUUCCAGAGCAUUAGAAUGUAUUGUGUUAUUCUGUAAAGCUUGUUGUACAGAAACAAUUCAAUAAAUGAAAAGUCUGAA